GAUGAACGCUGGCGGCGUGCCUAAUACAUGCAAGUCGAGCGAACGGACGAGAAGCUUGCUUCUCUGAUGUUAGCGGCGGACGGGUGAGUAACACGUGGAUAACCUACCUAUAAGACUGGGAUAACUUCGGGAAACCGGAGCUAAUACCGGAUAAUAUUUUGAACCGCAUGGUUCAAAAGUGAAAGACGGUCUUGCUGUCACUUAUAGAUGGAUCCGCGCUGCAUUAGCUAGUUGGUAAGGUAACGGCUUACCAAGGCAACGAUGCAUAGCCGACCUGAGAGGGUGAUCGGCCACACUGGAACUGAGACACGGUCCAGACUCCUACGGGAGGCAGCAGUAGGGAAUCUUCCGCAAUGGGCGAAAGCCUGACGGAGCAACGCCGCGUGAGUGAUGAAGGUCUUCGGAUCGUAAAACUCUGUUAUUAGGGAAGAACAUAUGUGUAAGUAACUGUGCACAUCUUGACGGUACCUAAUCAGAAAGCCACGGCUAACUACGUGCCAGCAGCCGCGGUAAUACGUAGGUGGCAAGCGUUAUCCGGAAUUAUUGGGCGUAAAGCGCGCGUAGGCGGUUUUUUAAGUCUGAUGUGAAAGCCCACGGCUCAACCGUGGAGGGUCAUUGGAAACUGGAAAACUUGAGUGCAGAAGAGGAAAGUGGAAUUCCAUGUGUAGCGGUGAAAUGCGCAGAGAUAUGGAGGAACACCAGUGGCGAAGGCGACUUUCUGGUCUGUAACUGGCGCUGAUGUGCGAAAGCGUGGGGAUCAAACAGGAUUAGAUACCCUGGUAGUCCACGCCGUAAACGAUGAGUGCUAAGUGUUAGGGGGUUUCCGCCCCUUAGUGCUGCAGCUAACGCAUUAAGCACUCCGCCUGGGGAGUACGACCGCAAGGUUGAAACUCAAAGGAAUUGACGGGGACCCGCACAAGCGGUGGAGCAUGUGGUUUAAUUCGAAGCAACGCGAAGAACCUUACCAAAUCUUGACAUCCUUUGACAACUCUAGAGAUAGAGCCUUCCCCUUCGGGGGGCAAAGUGACAGGUGGUGCAUGGUUGUCGUCAGCUCGUGUCGUGAGAUGUUGGGUUAAGUCCCGCAACGAGCGCAACCCUUAAGCUUAGUUGCCAUCAUUAAGUUGGGCACUCUAAGUUGACUGCCGGUGACAAACCGGAGGAAGGUGGGGAUGACGUCAAAUCAUCAUGCCCCUUAUGAUUUGGGCUACACACGUGCUACAAUGGACAAUACAAAGGGCAGCGAAACCGCGAGGUCAAGCAAAUCCCAUAAAGUUGUUCUCAGUUCGGAUUGUAGUCUGCAACUCGACUACAUGAAGCUGGAAUCGCUAGUAAUCGUAGAUCAGCAUGCUACGGUGAAUACGUUCCCGGGUCU
Molecule: ribosomal RNA, 1372 nt
Filed under: uncultured bacterium
Lineage: Bacteria
Description: bacterial SSU rRNA
Rfam family: Bacterial small subunit ribosomal RNA
Source: RNAcentral